RNAcentral lists this ribosomal RNA (433 nucleotides) under uncultured bacterium. RNAcentral's name for it is "partial 16S ribosomal RNA". It matches the Rfam family "Bacterial small subunit ribosomal RNA", at positions 29 to 507 of the family's 1533-position model. The record is from RNAcentral.
AAUGAACGUUGGCGGCAGGCCUAACACAUGCAAGUCGAGCGAGCAUUUCGGUGCUAGCGGCGGACGGGUGAGUAACGCGUGGGAACGUGCCCUUUUCUGCGGAAUAGUCCUGGGAAACUGGGGGUAAUACCGCAUACGCCCUUUUGGGGAAAGAUUUAUCGGAGAAGGAUCGGCCCGCGUUGGAUUAGGUAGUUGGUGGGGUAAUGGCCCACCAAGCCGACGAUCCAUAGCUGGUUUGAGAGGAUGAUCAGCCACACUGGGACUGAGACACGGCCCAGACUCCUACGGGAGGCAGCAGUGGGGAAUCUUAGACAAUGGGGGCAACCCUGAUCUAGCCAUGCCGCGUGAGUGAUGAAGGCCUUAGGGUUGUAAAGCUCUUUCAGCUGGGAAGAUAAUGACGGUACCAGCAGAAGAAGCCCCGGCUAACUCCGUG